RNAcentral lists this ribosomal RNA (493 nucleotides) under uncultured bacterium. RNAcentral's name for it is "partial 16S ribosomal RNA". It matches the Rfam family "Bacterial small subunit ribosomal RNA", at positions 30 to 523 of the family's 1533-position model. The record is from RNAcentral.
AUUGAACGCUGGCGGCAUGCUUUACACAUGCAAGUCGAACGGUAACAGGUUAAGCUGACGAGUGGCGAACGGGUGAGUAAUGCAUCGGAACGUGCCCGAUCGUGGGGGAUAACGCAGCGAAAGCUGCGCUAAUACCGCAUACGAUCUGAGGAUGAAAGCGGGGGACCGUAAGGCCUCGCGCGAUCGGAGCGGCCGAUGUCAGAUUAGGUAGUUGGUGGGGUAAAGGCUCACCAAGCCAACGAUCUGUAGCUGGUCUGAGAGGACGACCAGCCACACUGGGACUGAGACACGGCCCAGACUCCUACGGGAGGCAGCAGUGGGGAAUUUUGGACAAUGGGCGAAAGCCUGAUCCAGCAAUGCCGAGUGCAGGAAGAAGGCCUUCGGGUUGUAAACUGCUUUUGUACGGAGCGAAAAGGCCCUCCCUAAUACAGUGGGCUUAUGACGGUACCGUAAGAAUAAGCACCGGCUAACUACGUGCCAGCCGCCGCAGUAA